Molecule: transfer RNA, 65 nt
Filed under: Fukomys damarensis (Damara mole-rat)
Lineage: Eukaryota; Metazoa; Chordata; Mammalia; Rodentia; Bathyergidae
Rfam family: tRNA
About the family: Transfer RNA (tRNA) molecules are approximately 80 nucleotides in length. Their secondary structure includes four short double-helical elements and three loops (D, anti-codon, and T loops).
Source: Rfam by way of RNAcentral
GGUGUAGCUCAGUGGUAAAGCACUUGCCUAGCAUGCAAGAGACCCUGGGUUCAAUCACCAGUACC